RNAcentral lists this ribosomal RNA (465 nucleotides) under uncultured Klebsiella sp. RNAcentral describes it as "bacterial SSU rRNA". It matches the Rfam family "Bacterial small subunit ribosomal RNA", at positions 338 to 795 of the family's 1533-position model. Lineage: Bacteria; Pseudomonadati; Pseudomonadota; Gammaproteobacteria; Enterobacterales; Enterobacteriaceae. The record is from RNAcentral.
CCUACGGGAGGCUGCAGUGGGGAAUAUUGCACAAUGGGCGCAAGCCUGAUGCAGCCAUGCCGCGUGUGUGAAGAAGGCCUUCGGGUUGUAAAGCACUUUCAGCGGGGAGGAAGGCGUUAAGGUUAAUAACCUUGGCGAUUGACGUUACCCGCAGAAGAAGCACCGGCUAACUCCGUGCCAGCAGCCGCGGUAAUACGGAGGGUGCAAGCGUUGAUCGGAAUUACUGGGCGUAAAGCGCACGCAGGCGGUCUGUCAAGUCGGAUGUGAAAUCCCCGGGCUCAACCUGGGAACUGCAUUCGAAACUGGCAGGCUAGAGUCUUGUAGAGGGGGGUAGAAUUCCAGGUGUAGCGGUGAAAUGCGUAGAGAUCUGGAGGAAUACCGGUGGCGAAGGCGGCCCCCUGGACAAAGACUGACGCUCAGGUGCGAAAGCGUGGGGAGCAAACAGGAUUAGAUACCCGUGUAGUC